This 496-nucleotide ribosomal RNA is filed under the name uncultured bacterium. RNAcentral's name for it is "partial 16S ribosomal RNA". It matches the Rfam family "Bacterial small subunit ribosomal RNA", at positions 28 to 507 of the family's 1533-position model. The record is from RNAcentral.
GAUGAACGCUGGCGGCGUGCCUAAUACAUGCAAGUCGAGCGAACGGACGAGAAGCUUGCUUCUCUGAUGUUAGCGGCGGACGGGUGAGUAACACGUGGAUAACCUACCUAUAAGACUGGGAUAACUUCGGGAAACCGGAGCUAAUACCGGAUAAUAUUUUGAACCGCAUGGUUCAAAAGUGAAAGACGGUCUUGCUGUCACUUAUAGAUGGAUCCGCGCUUCAUUAGCUAGUUGGUAAGGUAACGGCUUACCAAGGCAACGAUGCAUAGCCGACCUGAGAGGGUGAUCGGCCACACUGGAACUGAGACACGGUCCAGACUCCUACGGGAGGCAGCAGUAGGGAAUCUUCCGCAAUGUGCGAAAGCCUGACGGGCAACGCCGCGUGAGUGAUGAAGGUCUUCGGAUCGUAAAACUCUGUUAUUAGGGAAGAACAUAUGUGUAAGUAACUGUGCACAUCUUGACGGUACCUAGUCAGAAAGCCACGGCUAACUACGUG